UACGUAGGGUGCAAGCGUUUAUCCGGAAUUAUUGGGCGUAAAGAGCUCGUAGGCGGUUUGUCGCGUCUGCCGUGAAAGUCCGGGGCUCAACCCCGGAUCUGCGGUGGGUACGGGCAGACUAGAGUGAUGUAGGGGAGACUGGAAUUCCUGGUGUAGCGGUGAAAUGCGCAGAUAUCAGGAGGAACACCGAUGGCGAAGGCAGGUCUCUGGGCAUUAACUGACGCUGAGGAGCGAAAGCAUGGGGAGCGAACAGG
This 254-nucleotide ribosomal RNA is filed under the name uncultured bacterium. Its description in RNAcentral is "partial 16S ribosomal RNA". It matches the Rfam family "Bacterial small subunit ribosomal RNA", at positions 524 to 776 of the family's 1533-position model. The record is from RNAcentral.